Molecule: ribosomal RNA, 405 nt
Filed under: uncultured rumen bacterium
Lineage: Bacteria
Description: bacterial SSU rRNA
Rfam family: Bacterial small subunit ribosomal RNA
Source: RNAcentral
GUGGGGAAUAUUGCACAAUGGGGGAAACCCUGAUGCAGCGACGCCGCGUGAGUGAUGAAGUAUUUCGGUAUGUAAAGCUCUAUCAGCAAGGAAGAUAAUGACGGUACUUGACUAAGAAGCCCCGGCUAAAUACGUGCCAGCAGCCGCGGUAAUACGUAUGGGGCAAGCGUUAUCCGGAUUUACUGGGUGUAAAGGGAGCGUAGACGGAAUGGCAAGUCAGAUGUGAAAGCCUGGGGCUCAACCCCGGAACUGCAUUUGAAACUGUCAAUCUAGAGUGUCGGAGAGGUAAGUGGAAUUCCUAGUGUAGCGGUGAAAUGCGUAGAUAUUAGGAGGAACACCAGUGGCGAAGGCGGCUUACUGGACGACAACUGACGUUGAGGCUCGAAAGCGUGGGGAGCAAACAGG